UAUUAUAAAAAGUUUUUAUAAAAAUUUUAUGUUAAAGUAAUAUUUUAAGAAAUAAUAAAUAUAUUUAUAUAUAUAAGUAAUGUAAAUGAAAUUUUAAAAUUUUAUAAAUUAAAGUAAAAUUUUGUACCUUUUGUAUCAGGGUUAAUUUAAAAAUUUUUAAUAAAUUAAAUAUCUCGAAAUUAAAAGAGUUAAAUAUAUAAAAUUUUUUUUGUUGAAUAAAAAUUAUAAAUAUAUAUUUAGAGAUUAGAUGUUAUUCAAUUUUAAUGAUAUCUAGUUAUUUUUGAAUUAAAUUUAAUUUAUAUAUUUUUUAAAGUAAAUUUAAAUAAAAAAGUUUAUUUUAGAAAAUAUAAAUAAUUUAUGGGAUAAUCUAUAAAUUAAAUUUAUAUAAUAAUUUAAAUUAAAAUUAAAAAGAUUAAUUUUAAAAUUUAAAAGAAUUUAAUGAGUAUUUAAUAAUUUAUUAAUAAAUUUUUAAUUAUAGUAAAAUUAAUUAUAUAUAUUGAUUUUAAAAAAAAAAUAAUUUUAAUAAUAUUAGUUAUAAUAUAAUGAUUAAAUUAGUAAUUUAAUUUGUAUAAAUUAUUUUAUGAAUAGUAUAUAUAUAAAUAUAUAUUUAAGUAACUAGGCAAAAUAAUUAUAUUCACCUGUUUAACAAAAACAUGUCUUUUUGAAUUUAAUAUAAAGUCAGUUCUGCUCAAUGAGGAAUUAAAUAGCUGCAGUAUUUUGACUGUACAAAGGUAGCAUAAUCAAUUGUCUUUUAAUUGAAGGCUGGGAUGAAUGAAUUAAUGAAAUAUAAACUGUCUCAAUAAUAUAAAAUAAAUUUAAAUUUUGAGUCAAAAUGCUUAAUUUUAUUUAAGGGACGAUAAGACCCUAUAGAAUUUUAUAUAUUAUAAAUUUUAUAAAUUGUAUUAAUAUAUUUAGUUGGGAGGAUUUUUAAAUUUAUUUAACUUUAAAAUUUUAAAAUAUUGAUUGAUAGAAUUUUAAAUUGAAAUAUAAUUAAUAAUAUAAAAAUAAAUUACCUUAGGGAUAACAGCGUAAUAUUUUUGGAAAGAUCAAAUUGAAAAAGGUGUUUGCGACCUCGAUGUUGAAUUAAAAUUAAUUAUAAAUGCAGGUGUUUAUAAAUUUAGUCUGUUCGACUAUUAAAAUUUUACAUGAUUUGAGUUCAGAUCGACGUGAGUCAGAUUGGUUUCUAUCUUUAAAAAGAUUUAAGAUUUUUGUACGAAAGGACUAAGUUUUAAAAAUAAUUUUUAAUUAAUUAUUAAUAA
Molecule: ribosomal RNA, 1259 nt
Filed under: Osmia lignaria (orchard mason bee)
Lineage: Eukaryota; Metazoa; Arthropoda; Insecta; Hymenoptera; Megachilidae
Description: partial 16S ribosomal RNA
Source: RNAcentral